RNAcentral lists this ribosomal RNA (468 nucleotides) under uncultured bacterium. RNAcentral describes it as "partial 16S ribosomal RNA". It matches the Rfam family "Bacterial small subunit ribosomal RNA", at positions 28 to 507 of the family's 1533-position model. The record is from RNAcentral.
GACGAACGCUGGCGGCGUGCUUAACACAUGCAAGUCGAACGGAAAGGCCCUGCUUUUGUGGGGUGCUCGAGUGGCGAACGGGUGAGUAACACGUGAGUAACCUGCCCUUGGCUUUGGGAUAACUUCAGGAAACUGGGGCUAAUACCGGAUAGGAGCUCCUGCUGCAUGGUGGGGGUUGGAAAGUUUCGGCGGUUGGGGAUGGACUCGCGGCUUAUCAGCUUGUUGGUGGGGUAGUGGCUUACCAAGGCUUUGACGGGUAGCCGGCCUGAGAGGGUGACCGGCCACAUUGGGACUGAGAUACGGCCCAGACUCCUACGGGAGGCAGCAGUGGGGAAUAUUGCACAAUGGGCGGAAGCCUGAUGCAGCAACGCCGCGUGCGGGAUGACGGCCUUCGGGUUGUAAACCGCUUUCGCCUGUGACGAAGCGUGAGUGACGGUAAUGGGUAAAGAAGCACCUGCUAACUACGUG